UGGGGAAUUUUGGACAAUGGGCGAAAGCCUGAUCCAGCAAUGCCGCGUGUGUGAAGAAGGCCUUCGGGUUGUAAAGCACUUUUGUCCGGAAAGAAAUCCUUGGCUCUAAUACAGUCGGGGGAUGACGGUACCGGAAGAAUAAGCACCGGCUAACUACGUGCCAGCAGCCGCGGUAAUACGUAGGGUGCAAGCGUUAAUCGGAAUUACUGGGCGUAAAGCGUGCGCAGGCGGUUUGCUAAGACCGAUGUGAAAUCCCCGGCGUCAACCUGGAACUGCAUUGGUGACUGGCAGGCUAGAGUAUGGCAGAGGGGGUAGAAUUCCACGUGUAGCAGUGAAAUGCGUAGAGAUGUGGAGGAAUACCGAUGGCGAAGGCAGCCCCCUGGCAAGUACUGACGCUCAUGCACGAAAGCGUGGGGAGCAAACNGGAUUAAUNCCCUGGUAGUCCACGCCCUAAANGAUGUCAACUAGUUGUUGGGGAUUCAUUUCCUUAGUAACGUAGCUAACGCGUGAGUUGACCGCCUGGGGAGUACGGUCGCAAGAUUAAAACUCAAAGAAUUGACGGGGUCAGCUGUUUCCU
This 577-nucleotide ribosomal RNA is filed under the name uncultured bacterium. RNAcentral describes it as "partial 16S ribosomal RNA". It matches the Rfam family "Bacterial small subunit ribosomal RNA", at positions 355 to 931 of the family's 1533-position model. The record is from RNAcentral.